ACGGGGGGAGCAAGCGUUGUUCGGAAUCACUGGGCGUAAAGGGCGUGUAGGCGGUCAGAUAAGUGGAAUGUGAAAUGCCCCGGCUCACCCGGGGACCGGCAUCCCAAACUGUCUGGCUUGAGUAUGGGAGAGGAUGGAGGAAUUCCUGGUGUAGCGGUGAAAUGCGUAGAUAUCAGGAGGAACACCGGUGGCGAAGGCGUCCAUCUGGCCCAAUACUGACGCUGAGGCGCGAAAGCUAGGGGAGCGAACGGGAUUAGAUACCCCGGUAGUCCUAGCCGUAAACGGUGAUCACUAGGUGUUGGGGGCAUCGACCCCUCCAGUGCCGCAGCUAACGCACUAAGUGAUCCGCCUGGGGAGUACGGCCGCAAGGUUG
This 373-nucleotide ribosomal RNA is filed under the name uncultured bacterium. RNAcentral's name for it is "bacterial SSU rRNA". It matches the Rfam family "Bacterial small subunit ribosomal RNA", at positions 525 to 896 of the family's 1533-position model. The record is from RNAcentral.